Molecule: ribosomal RNA, 354 nt
Filed under: Eukaryota sp.
Lineage: Eukaryota
Description: SSU rRNA
Rfam family: Eukaryotic small subunit ribosomal RNA
Source: RNAcentral
GUCGUUAACGAACGAGACCUUGACCUGCUAAAUAGCCAGGUUGACUUUUGUCGGCCGCCGGCUUCUUAGAGGGACUUUUGGCUCAAGCCAAUGGAAGUACGAGGCAAUAACAGGUCUGUGAUGCCCUUAGAUGUUCUGGGCCGCACGCGCGCUACACUGAUCAAGUCAACGAGUUUACAACCUUGGCCGGAAGGUCUGGGUAAUCUUUUGAAACUUGAUCGUGCUGGGGAUAGUCCAUUGCAAUUAUUGGACUUCAACGAGGAAUUCCUAGUAAGCGUGAGUCAUCAGCUCGCGUUGAUUACGUCCCUGCCCUUUGUACACACCGCCCGUCGCUAAUACCGAUUGAAUGGCUAA